AGUCGAGGGGUAGAGUUCUUCGGAGCUUGAGACCGGCGCACGGGUGCGUAACGCGUAUGCAAUCUACCUUUUACAGAGGGAUAGCCCAGAGAAAUUUGGAUUAAUACCUCAUAGUAUAAUUGAAUGGCAUCAUUUAAUUAUUAAAGUCACAACGGUAAAAGAUGAGCAUGCGUCCCAUUAGCUAGUUGGUAAGGUAACGGCUUACCAAGGCUACGAUGGGUAGGGGUCCUGAGAGGGAGAUCCCCCACACUGGUACUGAGACACGGACCAGACUCCUACGGGAGGCAGCAGUGAGGAAUAUUGGACAAUGGGCGCAAGCCUGAUCCAGCCAUGCCGCGUGCAGGAUGACGGUCCUAUGGAUUGUAAACUGCUUUUGUACAGGAAGAAACACUGGUUCGUGAACCAGCUUGACGGUACUGUAAGAAUAAGGAUCGGCUAACUCCGUGCCAGCAGCCGCGGUAAUACGGAGGAUCCAAGCGUUAUCCGGAAUCAUUGGGUUUAAAGGGUCCGUAGGCGGUUUGGUAAGUCAGUGGUGAAAGCCCAUCGCUCAACGGUGGAACGGCCAUUGAUACUGCUAGACUUGAAUUAUUAGGAAGUAACUAGAAUAUGUAGUGUAGCGGUGAAAUGCUUAGAGAUUACAUGGAAUACCAAUUGCGAAGGCAGGUUACUACUAAUAUAUUGACGCUGAUGGACGAAAGCGUGGGUAGCGAACAGGAUUAGAUACCCUGGUAGUCCACGCCGUAAACGAUGGAUACUAGCUGUUGGGCGCAAGUUCAGUGGCUAAGCGAAAGUGAUAAG
This 798-nucleotide ribosomal RNA is filed under the name Flavobacterium sp. RNAcentral describes it as "bacterial SSU rRNA". It matches the Rfam family "Bacterial small subunit ribosomal RNA", at positions 60 to 864 of the family's 1533-position model. Lineage: Bacteria; Pseudomonadati; Bacteroidota; Flavobacteriia; Flavobacteriales; Flavobacteriaceae. The record is from RNAcentral.